GUAGGGAAUAUUGCGCAAUGGGCGAAAGCCUGAUCCAGCCAUGCCGCGUGUGUGAAGAAGGUCUUCGGAUUGUAAAGCACUUUAAGUUGGGAGGAAGGGUAGUAACCUAAUACGUUGCUACUUUGACGUUACCGACAGAAUAAGCACCGGCUAACUUCGUGCCAGCAGCCGCGGUAAUACGAAGGGUGCAAGCGUUAAUCGGAAUUACUGGGCGUAAAGCGCGCGUAGGUGGUUCAGUAAGUUGGAAGUGAAAUCCCCGGGCUCAACCUGGGAACUGCUUUCAAAACUGCUGAGCUAGAGUACGGUAGAGGGUGGUGGAAUUUCCUGUGUAGCGGUGAAAUGCGUAGAUAUAGGAAGGAACACCAGUGGCGAAGGCGACCACCUGGACUGAUACUGACACUGAGGUGCGAAAGCGUGGGGAGCAAACAGGAUUAGAAACCCCUGUAGUCC
This 450-nucleotide ribosomal RNA is filed under the name uncultured bacterium. RNAcentral describes it as "partial 16S ribosomal RNA". It matches the Rfam family "Bacterial small subunit ribosomal RNA", at positions 354 to 796 of the family's 1533-position model. The record is from RNAcentral.